UUCAUUAUGUAAAGCUACAUUAUUUGCAUGAAAAUGUGCUAUAUGAAUAAAUGUUGUUGUUGUACAUGUGCCAGUAAUGGCUGACAAUAAGAACAAUAAAGCCAUUACUGAGCAUUGUGACACUAGAGCCACACUGAGGUAGCCAUAAGAGAUGAAGAUUCACACAUACAGUACGUGUUUGCAGAGUGUUUGCUCUCUUACAUUAAAGCCAACAUCCCAGCCUCCCUGGACUCAUAUCAAUUUGUUUACAGAGUUAAUAGAUCUACAGAGGAUGCCAUCUGUCCAGCUCUGCACACAGCCCUGGCUCAUCUGGAGGGACAGGACACAUACACGAGGAUGCUAUUUGUGGAUUAAAGCUCUUCUUUCAAUACUGUUGUCCCCUUCCAGCUCAUCCAUAAACAGCACCAGUUGGGCCCCAGCAUACCACUAUGUCAUUGGAUCCUCGGCGUCCUGUCAGGGGGCCAUCAGGCAGUACAGUCAGGCCCCAAUUUCUCUUCCAACCUGAACAUGGGCACACCACAAGCCGGUGUGCUCAGCCCUAUCCUCUACUCCCUCUUCGCUCAAGAUUGUUUACCUGCAUAUGCCACCUAUACCAUCAUAAAAUUUGUAGAUGACACCACAGUGAUUGGGCUAAUUUCCAAUAAUGAUGAAUCAGACUACAGAGUGGAGGUGAAAAAUCUGGUGAGAUGGUGCUCAUCGAACAACCUAUCCCUCAAUGCAUGGAAGAUCAAGGAACUCAUCAUCAGUCUCAGAAGAUCACGUGAUGAGGUUCAUGCUCCAAUUUUCCUCACUGGGUGACAGGAUGGAAGGUGUAUCAAGCUUUCGUUUCCUGAGGAUAUACUGUAUAUCAAUAGGGACCCUUCAUGGACAGCUAACACCACGGCACCAUUGAAGAAGGCACAGCAGCGGCUGUUUUUCUUAAGAAUGUUGAAAAAAGCUGGCCUCCCUCGAUGGAUGCUGCUGACCUACUACCGCUGCACCACAGAGUUUUUUGACCCAUUGUAUUUGUGUGUGGUAUCUUAGCUGCACAGCAGCUGAAAGGAACUCUCUACAGCGGGUUGUGUCGAGAGCACAGAGGAUUGUAAGGGUACAGCUUCCAGCCCUGGAGGACAUCUAUGGCACACACUGCCUCAGGAAAGCCACCAACGUCUUCAUGGAUUCCACUCAUCCAUGUCGUAGUCUGCUUGAACUUCUCCCAUUCAGCAAAUGCUACAGAACCUUCUAUGCAACAACCUCGAGGCUCAGAGACGGUUUCAUCCCAAGAGCUAUAAACGCACUCAGUUUAAUGCUGAGCUGGGACAUGUGGUGAGGCGUCAAAGAAAAGGACGAGUGUUGGUCACUUUGCCCCGAAAGAUUUUAGAUAUCAAACUGCUUUGCUCCAGCAGUUUUCUGAUUGUGCGGCGACCCGGGGUUUAGUUGUUCUACCAGGGCAGCGGUAAAACCCCUAUUUAGUCGCUGUGUCCUGGAUUGCAUUCGUUGUUGGGGUCUGGAUCGUCUGUCUACCUGUGUGCUGAGGACUGUUUGAGGAUUCACGGCUUUCCUGCAAGUAAAGGAGCGCUCCUGAACAAUCCAGCCGUCUUCACCCUUACAGUGUCUACUGUUUUCUGGUCUGGCGACCUGCGCCACC
Polypterus senegalus (gray bichir) is the source of this 1627-nucleotide long non-coding RNA. RefSeq lists it as uncharacterized. Lineage: Eukaryota; Metazoa; Chordata; Cladistia; Polypteriformes; Polypteridae. The record is from RefSeq and is a predicted model, not a curated record. The transcript has 4 exons.